This 446-nucleotide ribosomal RNA is filed under the name uncultured bacterium. RNAcentral's name for it is "partial 16S ribosomal RNA". It matches the Rfam family "Bacterial small subunit ribosomal RNA", at positions 338 to 795 of the family's 1533-position model. The record is from RNAcentral.
CCUACGGGAGGCAGCAGUCGAGAAUCAUUCACAAUGGGGGAAACCCUGAUGGUGCGACGCCGCGUGGGGGAAUGAAGGUCUUCGGAUUGUAAACCCCUGUCAUGUGGGAGCAAAUUAAAAAGAUAGUACCACAAGAGGAAGAGACGGCUAACUCUGUGCCAGCAGCCGCGGUAAUACAGAGGUCUCAAGCGUUGUUCGGAAUCACGGGGCGUAAGGCGUGCGUAGGCUGUUUCGUAAGUCGUGUGUAAAAGGCGCGGGCUCACCCCGCGGACGGCACAUGAUACUGCGAGACUAGAGUAAUGGAGGGGGAACCGGAAUUCUCGGUGUAGCAGUGAAAUGCGUAGAUAUCGAGAGGAACACUCGUGGCGAAGGCGGGUUCCUGGACAUUAACUGACGCUGAGGCACGAAGGCCAGGGGAGCGAAAGGGAUUAGAUACCCCAGUAGUC